RNAcentral lists this unclassified non-coding RNA (1816 nucleotides) under Hevea brasiliensis (rubber tree). The record is from RNAcentral. Lineage: Eukaryota; Viridiplantae; Streptophyta; Magnoliopsida; Malpighiales; Euphorbiaceae.
GGGAAAUACACAAUCGCUCAUUUCAAAUAAACUGUAUUCUCAGAUCCCUGAGAAUGUACAUAAAAGUGCAGUAUACCUUAACGUCCAAGAUAUAAUACUAUACAACCAUCAUUGAAACUCCUAAAUGCGCACUUUCCAAGGUUUUUAUAAACUGUGAGCUUACCGAAGGUCAACAAUAUCAAACUUCAUGUUUGCAUUCAUGUAGACAUGAGAACAGUGUUCAUAUAUUGGACUUCCAUCCUCGGGCUCCUCGUGAGGAUGAAAACCACGUUGUUGACAUUUCCGAAUAACAGAUACACCAGCAGGAUCAGACAAGUGGAAUAUGCCAUGAGGGCUGGCUGUGUCUGUAGGAGCCAUCACAAUUGCAAUUGCUUCCGGCAACAUAAUCUGAUAAGAAUAAUGAGUAUGCAGAUCAACUGAUGACAUAAAACAUGUUUGUGAUGGAUGUGUAUGGAUCCAACCAAGAGGAAAGAGAGAGCGCUUGUCUUGAACAUCAAAAAUCUCCUCUUCAUUUAAUGUCUGGCAUGAAUCUGAAGUUGACUCCUGCUUUGGAACUAUAAGAGUAGUGAUGUGAAAAACACGGUUUUUCAGUGAACCAGCAAGAACUCCACAAGUUUCUAAAUUCUUUUUUGUAUUUUCUCGAGCUAACCUCAAGAAAUCUUCCAUCAGUCUCACUGGAACAUGCAAAUGUUGAAAAGAAUUUGAACUAGACGGUACAUCCUGAAUGCACUUAGCGGGCCCAGGUCUUGGAUCUGCAACUUUGGACGGAGAUAUAGGACGAAACUCCUGUUGUAGUUGUGCCAAAACUGGAGGAGGCGAAGGUUGCCUUAAGUUACUCAAAGGAAUGUUAUCACUCCGCACAUCGUCAAGAAAUUGAAAAUUGGAAUCCUCAGUAGGAUGUAACCAUCGCCCAUCAUCCAAAGAAAGAACCGAUUCCAUAGAAGACUUAUCCACUAUCAAGCUAGUGUCCUUGGACACCAAAGGUCUAUCUUCAACUGGAUUAAGGCUCCAAAUCUCAUUUGGAGCUAGAUCAUCAUGUACUGGGUAAUUAACCUUUAUCUCAGAACUAGGUCCUGGCCAUUGACCACGAAGACCAUUGGGGCCAAAAAAAGAGUGCCUUGAUAACGUUUCUUGCUUUGGAACAGAAAAAUUGAAAGAUAGCUUCUGGAAUUGCUUGUCAAAUGAACUUGGGGAUGAAAUAUGAGAAUAUUCAUUGUUCUGUUUCCAUGUAGAUGAAGGUGCAUUUGUUAUGGCCCAUUGAUUAUCAUAAUAUGAAGAUGCUUUAUUGCUGGUAGAAGGUUGUCCAAAAGAAUUCCCAACUGGUCUAUAUCGAUGGUUCUCCAAAUUAUUGACUUGGUAAGGCUGAGCUGUUACUUGAACUUCACCGAUUGCUUGAAACUGGCGCUGGAAUUCAGGUUUUAAACCCUCUAGUUCAUCUAGCACAGUUAACAGCAUCUUUUUGGAUAAUGCUCUUUCUUUAGGAUGCAAAGCCUGGUAAUCUCGAUGAGAGGGUAUUGUUUCAGUAACCAAACUUGAAUAUCUCAGAAGUAUUAUAUACAAGUCUAUGAUAUUCUUCUCUCCACGAUGAAUACUAGCCUGUCGGAGGAGAUUAUUGGCGAUCCUGUAGUAAUUGCGAAGAGGAAUUCGAUUGUCGACGUCGACUUUCCGCGCCAUGGCGUCGAUAUUCAUGGUCGCUGGCCGCCUCAUUGCCCCGGGGAGAGAUUUUCCGGCGAUUUAAGGAAGAAUAGGAGUAUAGAUUAGGCUCAAGUGUUGAGAAGGAAACAAUUGAAAUAAGAGAGUAGUUUGCUGCUUCUUU